UACAGAGGCCCCAAGCAUUAUCCGGAAUCACUGGGCGUAAAGGGUGUGUAGGCGGUCGUGUUAGUCUUUCGUGAAAGCUUUUGGGCUUAACCCAGAAAACGCGGAGGAAACGGCACGACUUAGAGGAUGCGAGAGGUAUAUGGAACUCAUGGUGUAGGGGUGAAAUCCGUUGAUAUCAUGGGGAACACCAAAAGCGAAGGCAAUAUACUGGCGCACUCCUGACGCUGAGACACGAAAGCGUGGGAAUCGAACGGG
Molecule: ribosomal RNA, 255 nt
Filed under: uncultured bacterium
Lineage: Bacteria
Description: partial 16S ribosomal RNA
Rfam family: Bacterial small subunit ribosomal RNA
Source: RNAcentral